UACGUAGGUGGCAAGCGUUGUCCGGAUUUACUGGGCGUAAAGAGCGCGCAGGCGGUCGUUCAAGUCGCGUGUGAAAGCCCCCGGCUCAACUGGGGAGGGUCACGCGAUACUGAUCGACUCGAAGGCAGGAGAGGGUAGUGGAAUUCCCGGUGUAGUGGUGAAAUGCGUAGAUAUCGGGAGGAACACCAGUGGCGAAGGCGGCUCACUGGUCCAUUACUGACGCUGAGGUGCGAAAGCGUGGGGAGCAAACAGG
RNAcentral lists this ribosomal RNA (253 nucleotides) under uncultured bacterium. RNAcentral describes it as "partial 16S ribosomal RNA". It matches the Rfam family "Bacterial small subunit ribosomal RNA", at positions 524 to 776 of the family's 1533-position model. The record is from RNAcentral.